GAUGAACGCUGGCGGCGUGCUUAACACAUGCAAGUCGAACGGAAAGGCUCCUGCUUGCAGGGGUACUCGAGUGGCGAACGGGUGAGUAACACGUGGGUGAUCUGCCCUGCACUUCGGGAUAAGCCUGGGAAACUGGGUCUAAUAUCGGAUAGGACGAUGGUUUGGAUGCCAUUGUGGAAAGUGUUUCGGUGUGGGAUGAGCUCGCGGCCUAGCAGCUUGUUGGUGGGGUAAUGGCCUACGAAGGCGUCGACGGGUAGCCGGCCUGAGAGGGUGUACGGCCACAUUGGGACUGAGAUACGGCGCAGACUCCUACGGGAGGCAGCAGUGGGGAGUAUUGCACAAUGGGCGCAAGCCUGAUGCGGCGGCGCCGCGUGGGGAAUGACGGCCUUCGGGUUGUAAACUCCUUUCGCUAGGGACGAAGCGCAAGUGACGGUACCUGGAGAAGAAGCACCGGCUAACUACGUG
Molecule: ribosomal RNA, 465 nt
Filed under: uncultured bacterium
Lineage: Bacteria
Description: partial 16S ribosomal RNA
Rfam family: Bacterial small subunit ribosomal RNA
Source: RNAcentral